Molecule: ribosomal RNA, 265 nt
Filed under: uncultured archaeon
Lineage: Archaea
Description: partial 16S ribosomal RNA
Rfam family: Archaeal small subunit ribosomal RNA
Source: RNAcentral
ACACGACUACAUUAGAUACCCGCGUAGUCCCAGCCGUAAACGAUACUCGCUAGGUGUCGGCCACGGUGCGACCGUUGUCGGUGCCGUAGGGAAGCCGUGAAGCGAGCCACCUGGGAAGUACGGCCGCAAGGCUGAAACUUAAAGGAAUUGGCGGGGGAGCACAACAACGGGUGGAGCUUGCGGUUUAAUUGGAUUCAACGCCGGAAAUCUUACCGGGACCGACAGCAACAUGAAGGCCAAGCUGAAGACUUUGCCGGAUUAGCUG